CCCUUAGAUGUUCUGGGCGGCCCGCGCACUACAUUGGCACUGGCAACAAGAUCCUAGAUCUGAUAUUUCGGGGUAUUCUACCAACUGGUGUCGUGACUGGGAUUAACCCCUGCAAUUAUUGGUUAUGAACGAGGAAUUCCUUGUAAUCACGGUUUAUCAACCCGUGUUGAAUGCGUCCCUGCCCUUUGUACACACCGCCCGUCGCUCCUACCGAUGAAUCGUCCGGUGAAGUUCAUGGAGUCGCUGCUGCUCCAGCUGUUUUCGAAGUGAAAUGGACCUCNUNAUUUAUNGGAAGGAGAANUCGUANCA
This 309-nucleotide ribosomal RNA is filed under the name uncultured eukaryote. RNAcentral's name for it is "partial 18S ribosomal RNA". It matches the Rfam family "Eukaryotic small subunit ribosomal RNA", at positions 1470 to 1796 of the family's 1831-position model. The record is from RNAcentral.